Durio zibethinus is the source of this 907-nucleotide long non-coding RNA. RefSeq lists it as uncharacterized. Lineage: Eukaryota; Viridiplantae; Streptophyta; Magnoliopsida; Malvales; Malvaceae. The record is from RefSeq and is a predicted model, not a curated record.
UGAAAAUAAACCCUACCCCCAAUCCCUGUCUUCCCCGCCUCUCAGGCCUCCUCUUCCCCCUUUUUCUUUUCUCUAUAAAGCUGGUAGACAGAUUAUAUAUUGUUAGAGUGGUCCAUGGAACUUUGGAUGGCCAUGCUCCUUCUUCUUUUCCUCUGUCUCUCUUCCUUUUCAUCAGUGCUCAGUGUUUUUAGGUCAGAAGGACUCAGGACAAAGGCUUCCCUGAUGAUUUGAGAGUUCUUUUUUUUUGAGAUCUGAGGGUCAAGCAAUUUCAGUGGGACGGUUGAUUUUCUUUUUCUUUUAUUUGAAAGUUCUGGUCAUGCUUUUCCACAGCUUUCUUGAACUUUCUCGGUGUACUUACUCCAUCUUUAACAUGUUAGCUAUAUAUAGCACACCGUGGAAGCUCAAGAAAGCUGUGGGAGAACAUGGCAAUUCAGGACUUAUUGUUCUUGUUUCAGCUAGCUACAUUGAAGACCAAGAUUUCUGCAGCAAAAAAAAAAAAAAAAACUCCAUUUCUCUUUUGUGUGCAUACAGAUCAUGCUUUCCCACAGAGAAAAGAUUUCUGAUGCUGAAUUACAAGUUAUGGCUAGAGAGGAUAGACCAAGUUGAUAGCAGAAGUAGCAUACAUGCGGAAACAGCAUUGGUGGACAGCAGAAUAACAUCCAAGGAACUUGAAGUUUAUCUACCUCACAAGCACCUCUUAUUCUCAACUACUUCCCUUUUUUUUUUUUGCUUUUCCAUUUUUCCUUUUCUGUUCCUUUUUGGUUUUUCUAGAUUUCAACCAAUUAUGUUCUAGCAAGUAACAAGAACAUCAAAACAGUGGGACAUUUAUAAAAAUGCUCACUCAUUCACCAAUCCCGGGCAAUAGCUUUAAUUUGCCUUGAAAAUUAAUUUUUUUUAUUAUUAUUAU